RNAcentral lists this ribosomal RNA (680 nucleotides) under uncultured bacterium. RNAcentral describes it as "bacterial SSU rRNA". It matches the Rfam family "Bacterial small subunit ribosomal RNA", at positions 56 to 749 of the family's 1533-position model. The record is from RNAcentral.
UGCAAGUCGAACGAGCGAGAGAGAGCUUGCUUUCUCGAGCGAGUGGCGAACGGGUGAGUAACGCGUGAGGAACCUGCCUCAAAGAGGGGGACAACAGUUGGAAACGACUGCUAAUACCGCAUAAGCCCACGACCCGGCAUCGGGUAGAGGGAAAAGGAGCAAUCCGCUUUGAGAUGGCCUCGCGUCCGAUUAGCUAGUUGGUGAGGUAACGGCCCACCAAGGCGACGAUCGGUAGCCGGACUGAGAGGUUGAACGGCCACAUUGGGACUGAGACACGGCCCAGACUCCUACGGGAGGCAGCAGUGGGGAAUAUUGCACAAUGGGGGAAACCCUGAUGCGGCGACGCCGCGUGGAGGAAGAAGGUCUUCGGAUUGUAAACUCCUGUUGUUGAGGAAGAUAAUGACGGUACUCAACAAGGAAGUGACGGCUAACUACGUGCCAGCAGCCGCGGUAAAACGUAGGUCACAAGCGUUGUCCGGAAUUACUGGGUGUAAAGGGAGCGCAGGCGGGAAGACAAGUUGGAAGUGAAAUCCAUGGGCUCAACCCAUGAACUGCUUUCAAAACUGUUUUUCUUGAGUAGUGCAGAGGUAGGCGGAAUUCCCGGUGUAGCGGUGGAAUGCGUAGAUAUCGGGAGGAACACCAGUGGCGAAGGCGGCCUACUGGGCACCAACUGACGCUGA